Rhipicephalus sanguineus (brown dog tick) is the source of this 271-nucleotide long non-coding RNA. RefSeq lists it as uncharacterized. The transcript is spliced from 3 exons. Lineage: Eukaryota; Metazoa; Arthropoda; Arachnida; Ixodida; Ixodidae. The record is from RefSeq and is a predicted model, not a curated record.
GGGCGAACGUUCUCCUCAGGCCACUGAGCACGCGCUCUGCCUCCGCUCGCCGCUGCCGUGUGGUGGCGCUGCGCGAGUAGACUAUGGGAAGCUCACGCUCAACAGCCUAGGGACUUUGGAAGGAGCUUGGAUGAAAGACCAGGAGCAGCAAAAGGUGACACCUACAGCCAUGCAAAGGAGUGAGUGGCUAAAGGAGCUCGACUACCGACCGGAAGCGUUUUCUGACCAUGCUGAAGAAGUGAUGCAGGACCCCUUUAAGGGAAAGAAAUGU